Molecule: small nuclear RNA, 18 nt
Filed under: Arabidopsis thaliana (thale cress)
Lineage: Eukaryota; Viridiplantae; Streptophyta; Magnoliopsida; Brassicales; Brassicaceae
Description: snRNA_12786
Source: RNAcentral
AUUCAGCCCUUUGUCGCU